GAUGAACGCUGGCGGCGUGCCUAAUACAUGCAAGUCGAGCGAACAGAUGAGGCGUUUUCUCCUCUGAAGUUAGCGGCGGACGGGUGAGUCACAUGUGGAUAACCUACCUAUAAGACUGGGAUACCUAAGGGAAACCGGAGCUAAUACCGGAUAAUAUAUUGAACCGCAUGGUUCAAUAGUGAAAGACGGAUUUGCUGUGACUUAUAGAUGGAUCCGCGCCGCAUUAGCUAGGUGGUAAGGUAACGGCUUACCAAGGCAACGAUGCGUAGCCGACCUGAGAGGGUGAUCGGCCACACUGGAACUGAGACACGGUCCAGACUCCUACGGGAGGCAGCAGUAGGGAAUCUUCCGCAAUGGGCGAAAGCCUGACGGAGCAACGCCGCGUGAGUGAUGAAGGUCUUCGGAUCGUAAAGCUCUGUUAGUAGGGAGGAACAAAUGUAUAAGUAACUAUGCACGUCUUGACGGUACCUAAACAAAAAGCCACGGCUAACUACGUG
RNAcentral lists this ribosomal RNA (497 nucleotides) under uncultured bacterium. RNAcentral's name for it is "partial 16S ribosomal RNA". It matches the Rfam family "Bacterial small subunit ribosomal RNA", at positions 28 to 507 of the family's 1533-position model. The record is from RNAcentral.